UCUUCAUGGUGGGCUAAUAAUAUUCUUGUCGUAGGAUCUUGUAAGCUAGAGAUUUGUCCCCCAAGUGAUUUUCACAAAUCUCUUUAUAGACCUCCCUGAGUGCAUAGUCGGCAUCUGUUGGUCCCAAACACUUCACUAAGAGAAGAGAGAAUGACCUUUUGUAUAAAUGAUCAUUCAUUAAAAUAUAUUGAGAGGCCAUCCAUCUGAGUCAUUUGGCUUUUGAGGAAUUCAUAGGGAGAGUUCCAUCAGUU
RNAcentral lists this long non-coding RNA (251 nucleotides) under Elaeis guineensis (African oil palm). RNAcentral's name for it is "long non-coding RNA (EGUI_LNC031382)". The record is from RNAcentral. Lineage: Eukaryota; Viridiplantae; Streptophyta; Magnoliopsida; Arecales; Arecaceae.